GACGAACGCUGGCGGCGUGCUUAACACAUGCAAGUCGAACGAGAGGACAAGAGAAGCUUGCUUCUUUUGGAAUCGAGUGGCAAACGGGUGAGUAACACGUAAACAACCUGCCUUCAGGAUGGGGACAACAGACGGAAACGACUGCUAAUACCGAAUACGCUUGGGAGACCGCAUGAUCUUCCAAGGAAAGGGUGGCCUCUACUUGUAAGCUAUCGCCUGAAGAGGGGUUUGCGUCUGAUUAGGCAGUUGGUGAGGUAACGGCCCACCAAACCUACGAUCAGUAGCCGGUCUGAGAGGAUGAACGGCCACACUGGAACUGAGACACGGUCCAGACUCCUACGGAGGCAGCAGUGGGGAAUCUUCCGCAAUGGCGAAAGCCUGACGGAGCAACGCCGCGUGAGUGAUGACGGCCUCGGUGUAAGC
This 423-nucleotide ribosomal RNA is filed under the name uncultured bacterium. RNAcentral describes it as "bacterial SSU rRNA". It matches the Rfam family "Bacterial small subunit ribosomal RNA", at positions 28 to 431 of the family's 1533-position model. The record is from RNAcentral.